GACGAACGCUGGCGGCGUGCCUAAUACAUGCAAGUAGAACGCACAGUUUAUACCGUAGCUUGCUACACCAUAGACUGUGAGUUGCGAACGGGUGAGUAACGCGUAGGUAACCUGCCUGGUAGCGGGGGAUAACUAUUGGAAACGAUAGCUAAUACCGCAUAAUAUUAAUUAUUGCAUGAUAAUUAGUUGAAAGGUGCAAUUGCACCACUACCAGAUGGACCUGCGUUGUAUUAGCUAGUAGGUGAGGUAACGGCUCACCUAGGCGACGAUACAUAGCCGACCUGAGAGGGUGAUCGGCCACACUGGGACUGAGACACGGCCCAGACUCCUACGGGAGGCAGCAGUAGGGAAUCUUCGGCAAUGGACGAAAGUCUGACCGAGCAACGCCGCGUGAGUGAAGAAGGUUUUCGGAUCGUAAAGCUCUGUUGUAAGAGAAGAACGGGUGUGAGAGUGGAAAGUUCACACUGUGACGGUAUCUUACCAGAAAGGGACGGCUAACUACGUG
RNAcentral lists this ribosomal RNA (505 nucleotides) under uncultured bacterium. Its description in RNAcentral is "partial 16S ribosomal RNA". It matches the Rfam family "Bacterial small subunit ribosomal RNA", at positions 28 to 507 of the family's 1533-position model. The record is from RNAcentral.